CUCCAGCUCGUGUUGUGAAAUGUUGGGUUAAGUCCCGUAACGAGCGCAACCCUUUUCCUUAUUUGCCAGCACUUCGGGUGGGAACUCUAAGGAGACUGCCGGUGACAAACCGGAGGAAGGUGGGGACGACGUCAAGUCAUCAUGGCCCUUACGAGUUGGGCUACACACGUGCUACAAUGGCCGGUACAGAGGGCCGCAAACCAGCGAUGGUAAGCUAAUCUCAGAAAACCGGUCGUAGUCCGGAUUGGAGUCUGCAACUCGACUCCAGAAGUCGGAAUCGCUGUAUC
This 287-nucleotide ribosomal RNA is filed under the name uncultured Alteromonadales bacterium. RNAcentral describes it as "partial 16S ribosomal RNA". It matches the Rfam family "Bacterial small subunit ribosomal RNA", at positions 1053 to 1335 of the family's 1533-position model. The record is from RNAcentral. Lineage: Bacteria; Pseudomonadati; Pseudomonadota; Gammaproteobacteria; Alteromonadales.